Molecule: long non-coding RNA, 8703 nt
Filed under: Panax ginseng (ginseng)
Lineage: Eukaryota; Viridiplantae; Streptophyta; Magnoliopsida; Apiales; Araliaceae
Description: long non-coding RNA (PGIN_LNC016453)
Source: RNAcentral
UAAUUUUCUUGGGGUUUCAUCAAGAUCCAAAAGUUGUUCUGAAAAGGAUUCAUCUUCAUAUUUACGUGCAGUGACCUCCGAACGAAGUGCAAUAAUACAAAAAUUCGAAUUGAAAAUAUCUAGCCUAACACGAAAAGGAGACAUAUCAAAACCCACGGCUGCAAGGUCGUCAACAUCAUUGUUAAAUCUCUCCAAGUCCUCUACUUGCAAAGAGUAUAAAGAAAGAUUGUGUAGCCCGAGAACAAAGUUGGUGAGUUGAUCUAUGAAGAAGGUUUUGGCAGGGGUUGCUUUAAUAAUCAGUUGGUCAAGUAUAUGCGAGAAUCGAGCUAGGAGACGCUAUAGAUUUUCCUGACUAGAAGAGGAAAUCUGAAAGCCCCUCCAAGAAACAAGAUUUUCACUUGGAUUGAAGGAAGCUCUAGCGGGAGCUAUUUUAGAAGCUAUCAUAGAAUUCAUCGAGACAAGGGAUGAAGGAGCAGGUGGUUGUUGUACUGCUGAUGACUCCUUGAAGCCUUAGCCAUCCAGAGGAUAAUCAAGGUCACUAUACAAUGAGGUGGCAACAUCCGAAUGAAGAGCAUCAAAUAAAGCAAGUGCCUCAACAGGCAAAGACAAAUCUUUUAUCUUCUCGCUCUGAAAAACAAAAUGACAAACAUAAUAUAUUAUGAAAAAUAAUAAUAAUAAUAAAUCAAGAAAAUUAGUCCAUACUUUUGUUUUGAACAAGAUUGCUUAAAGAUUUUCCUAUUUAUUUUCACAACAUUAUUGAGAGAAUUUGUAUCACAGUAAGGUGAAACAAAAAAAUUCUUAUGGUAUGUGCAUACUAAAAAAUGAAAUAAAAAAAUAGGAAUAUAGGUUAGUUAGUUCUAAAAAAAAUCAUGCAUGAGUUAUUAAAAGCAUGUGAAGAUUUCACUAAUCAGAAUAACAUAAAACGUACACACAUGAAAUUAGAAGCAGACACUGUUGGAAAUUUAUGGAAGAUGCUAAAUUAUAGAAGAAGUGAAAUAUAACUUUGAAGAACACUUAAGAAUACUUUCAUUUCACUUGCUUUAAAUGAACUAAGUACAUGACAAAUUAUAAUACUCAUAGGAUACUUCUAGAGUUACCAUAAUAAUUACUAGAUGACUAAAUUCAUGAACAUAAACCUAACCAUUACAUGUUCCAAGAUAUUUUAAAUACAUUCAUAUACAUACAUGUAUAAUGUAUUUAGACAUUACACUUAAUAAUUCAUGAACAUUCUAGAAUUAAUUUGGUUUAGUUAACAAGGCCUCCCGUAAACUAAAUUUAUGUUUCACAAUGUCGCAAAACCUUUUGAUCUUUCGAUUCCUUCAAACGCUAGAAACUCUUUUGCUAUUUCCACGGAUGUGAAUGACAUAAAUAAUGUUUUUUGUUUGCUAGAUCGUAAGUCAGGCUUCUGAAAAUCAGUUAAAGCAAUACGAUCUAGGACAACUUUUAAAUCUUCUAAUUGCUUCAAGUGUAUAAUCUGUGCAAGAAACUCUUCCAUAUCAACACGUAAUAAUUCCCUUUGUUUCUCUAGUUUCUGCCUCUUCACCUUAAGUUCUUCAAUGGAAUCAUUCAGCUCUGUCCAUUCCUUGCCUCUUCUUAACUUCACGAUCCAAAUUGAUUUCUUUUCUCUCACUAUCAAGUCUAUUCAUUUUUAAAUUAACUUGUUCUAUUUCUUUUGCCAAUGUUUCCCUUAGUGAAGUAAUAUGCUGUAAUUCUUGCUUCAAAAGAAUAGUUCCAUCUUACCGUUUUCCUAUCAAUUCACUUUGGCAAAUAUCCCAUCAUUUGGUGGCACAUCACACUCAUCUCCAGUUGCUAGUUUACCAUUCUCUCCAAAUGCAUAUUAUGGCUUCACUAUUAGGAGGACCUUCUCUUCCUUCUUCAUUGUCUUUAUGACUUUUGACAUAGCAGGACAGAGAUACCAAUCUUUCACAAUGAACUCCACCCCAUUAGAUUUCAAAAUUAGCAUUCCAUCCUCAAGCCUAGCCUCAUAUUUAACUAAUACUUCAUCUAGGUCUUUAGGAUUUCGCCAGUUUUCUCCUUCAGUAAGUAUCUUCUUGAAUAUUCCUCCAUCUUUACAUAUAUCCUUGACACUUGAGACCAAGAGAGCAACUCAACCUCAAACUGGAUUCCAUCAAGCAAAGUACCCACAUAAUGAACUUUAACUUCAUCACCAGAGCCAGGAUGUUCCCAUCCUUCACCUUCCUUAACCAGCUUCUUGCUUAGCCCAUUCUUUCCUAUCUCCACAAAAUUCAUCAGUCUAAAUACCAAAUCAUAAUUUUUGAUAUUCAAAAUAUUUUUCUCAUGCUCAUCCAAAUUUUUGAACUCUUUCUUUUCAUCCUUUUCGUCAACAAUCUCUUCUAUUUUUUUAAUUUCGACUAUUUCUUCGUUGUUUGUUUUCUUCUUAUUAUUUUACCUCUUCAAAUGCUUCUUUACUUGGCGUCUCUUUCAUUUCUCCUUUUUUAUCUUCAACUUUCAUAAUUUUAUCAACACAAAUCUUUUCGUCUUCUUCUUUCGAGAUAUCUUCAAAAAAUUCUGUUUUUCUUUCUUCUUCAACUUCAUCAAUUUCUUUUACAAGUUUCUCAUCUUCUUUCAAAAACCGAGACUCUUUAGAUAAUGAUGGACCUUUAUAAUUAUUGCAAAUCAAUUUAAGUUCAUUCCAUAACUGAGAUAAAGAAUCAAAACUCGCAACAUGUUUCCAAACUUCUUCAUGCAUUACUCCUUGCAAAAUCUUCCUUGUUCUUUUUCCUUUCAUUUCUCGAACUUUUUUUGAAAUACAGUUUUCUGGAUUUGCAAUGACAUCUUACCAUAAAUUGCAAGUUUCAAGAAAUACUCUAAUCCUUAUGCUUCAAACUUUGUAAUUUGUGACCACUAAUUUUGCACCAAACCUAGGAAACAUCAUUUUUCUAUAAUUUACCUAUCCAAAAUGUUAUCAAUAUGACGACCUUUGUGACGUGCUUCAACUCACAAACUUAUUUUUCAAAUUUCUUCUCAACUAGCACCUUUGCUAGUUUGAAGUCCGGAGCUCUAACGCGCACACUUUACACUCGCCCAACGGAACACUUCGAUGACAACACGUCACCUCUCUUGGGUCGUCUACCUUUACUUCACUUUGGUUUAACCUUUUUUAAACCUUCGAAUUAACCUUAGCUUUGAUACCACUUGUUGGAAAUUUAUGGAAGAUGAUAAAUUAUAGAAGAAGUGAAAUAUAACUUUGAAGAACACUUAAGAAUACUUUCAUUUCACUUGCUUCAAAUGAACUAAGUACAUGACAAAUUAUAGGACUCAUAAGAUAAUUCUAGAGUUACCAUAAUAAUUACUAGAUGACUAAAUUCAUGUACACGAACCUAACCAUUACAUGUUCCAAGACAUUUUAAAUACAUUCAUGUACAUACGUGUAUCAUGUAUUUAGACAUUACACUUAAUUAAUUCAUGAACAUUCUAGAAUUAAUUUGGUUUAGUUAACAAGCACGAAUUAUAUAGUAGUACUACCUUUUUAUGUUGCUAUAAUAAUUAUACUGCAUGGUUUGUUUCUCAUGGAUUCGAACAUUCCAGUCAAACCGUUUAUAUAUAUAUAUAUAUAUAUAUAUAUAUAUAUAUAUAUAUAUAUAUAUAUAUAUAUAUAUAUAUAUNNNNNNNNNNNNNNNNNNNNNNNNNNNNNNNNNNNNNNNNNNNNNNNNNNNNNNNNNNNNNNNNNNNNNNNNNNNNNNNNNNNNNNNNNNNNNNNNNNNNAGAAAGUAUUUGCUAUGGAUGAGAAUUGGGCAAAUAGCAUCAUAACCGUUCAUCCCAUUAAUUAAGGGGGCAGAUUAAAAAAUGGAACUCCCCGUACGCCAGUUCGUCUAGCGGACGUCAAUUAUAAAAAUUUCAACCGAAUUUGCCCUCAUCUCAUACGCUACUUGAAGUAGUGGAUCUAUCUUUUCUCUUUCUUCAGAUACGUGAUUUUAACUUUUGAAUAUUUGAUAUCGAUUAUAACAUCAGAUUCAGAGAUUACAUCCGCUCUUUACAAAAUCGAUUAUAAAACUACUUCACAUAAUCGAUUAUAAAACUUCUGAGAUAUAGGAAAUUCAUAGAUAUGGGAAAUUCAGAGAUUUGGGAUGACUUCAUAGAUUUAGAUUUUGGAUACGAAAUCGAUUAUAACUUCAGAGAUUUGGGAUGAAAUUGGCUUCAGAUAUUUUGAAUGCGAAAUCGCAGAUAGCGAAAGAUUUAUAAUUCUGAAUAACUUCUUCAGAUCUUUCUAACAGAUCUCGAAUUGUAUGCCUUGCCUCCCAAAUAUACACACAGAUCUCGCAGGGAAUACGUUUUUAAUCUACAGAUCUCGAAUAUGAAGCUUCACAAAUAUUAUGCUAGCAAAUAUUAAACCAAAUAUAACAGAUCUUCAUCUGGAGGAAAAAAUUUCUCACGUUAAAUACGAGUUCAAUGAUAAAUGCAUAGAAUUGGUGCAGAGAAUACAGAACAAUUCAGAAAAUAAUUCAGUUUUCAAAAUUGUCUUGGUAAGUUUUUAAUUAUGGCUGAAGAUAUGUUUAAUUCAAGCUCGUCAAAUUCUUCUCAUGAUAAUAUUGACGUGGAUACUAUUGGUGUUCAUAACACGAAGCAAUCGCAUAUUAAUGUUUUAAAAAGUCCAUAUGAGGGUCAUAUUUUUUCUACUAUCCAAGAGGCGGAAGAAUUUUAUAGAACAUAUACACGGAGUAGUGUAUUUGAAAUAAAAAUUGGGGCAACUCAUAAAUAUGCUCACUCCAAUAAUUUGUCCAACCGACUUUUUACAUGUAAGAAAGCUAGAAAACCAAUUAAAAGAAGGAAACAAGAUGAUGAAGUUGAUGGUAGUAAGGUCAAAAGGAAAAGGGAUUCUAUAGGUCAGACGAUGUGCAAAGCUAGAAUGUUUGUUGUUCAUCUAAAGAAUGAAGAUACUUGGAAAGUUUCAAAAAUUGAGCUGACUCACAAUCAUGAUUUGGUGACUCCGAGCAAGAAAAAUUUCAUUCAAACACAGAAAAAUAUUACUCCUGUUGCUCGAAGUUUAAUCGGAACUUUCACAAGGGCUGGAGUUGGGCCAAGUAAAAUGAUGAAUGUAUUUAGUGAAAUAGGAGGAGGGGUGGAAUAUGUCGGUUUCAGUGAUAAGGAUAUUUGGAAUGUUGUACGAGAUAUAAGACAUGACACAAUAGAUUCAAAUGAUGCCCAAGCAGCGUUGCAGUUCCUGAAAAAACUCUCGGCAGAAAAUCCCCUAUUUUUUUUCGAUAUCAAACGAGAUGAAGAUAAUCGCAUCGAAUGCAUCUUGUGGAUAGAUUAUCGAUCAAUGAUAGCUUACAAAAAUUUUGGGGAUGUGGUGACAUUUGAUACAACUUAUCAAACGAACAAGUAUUCUAUGCCAUUUGUUCCGUUCACGGGAGUAAAUCAUCAUUAUCAUUCCAUCUUGUUUGGUUUUGCACUGAUUCAGGAUGAAACAGAGGAUACUUUUGUAUGGGUUUUUGAAACUUGGCUUCAAGCGAUGAACAACAAGGCACCGAUUACCAUUAUCACUGAUCAGGACAAAGCUAUAAGCAAUGCGAUUGCUAAGGUUCUUCCUGAAACACACCAUGUACUUUGCACAUGGCAUAUUAGCAACAAAUUUCCACAGAAAUUACAUACAUUGUAUGAAUAGUACCCAACAUUUAAACAUGAUUUUAAUUGUUGUGUUUAUAAAUCUUUGACUGUUGCGAAUUUCGAGGAGCGGUGGAAAAAGUUAAUGAUAGAUUACGAACUACAUGACCAUGAUUGGCUCCAAUCACUUUAUGCGGUUAAGUACAAAUGGAUCAAGGCGUACACAAAUAAUUUUUUUGCAGCAGGAAUGACGACUACAUCCAGGAGUGAGGGAAUGAACAGUUUGUUCGAUGACUAUAUGAAUGUCACAACAAGUAUCAAGGAAUUUAUUGUAAAUACACAAAAAGCACUUGAGAAGCAGGUUAUGAGAGAGAGAAAAGCUGACUACGCCUAAAGGAUCGAGUUUGGUAUAUCCGUCGUCGAGUAAUUUCUUUAUACCAUGUCAUAUAAUCCUUGGUAGAUAUAUACUGCAAAGCCUCCAACACUUGUCCUUCUAAACUCUCCAUGUAUGCAUCCCACAAUCGAAUAUAGUUAGCCCUAUGGUUUUCAAAAUUUAUUCUUUCAAAUAAUUUAUGUUCCUUCCGCAAUUCCACCAUAUUUUCAGCAUUAGAUGGAUACGACUGCAAAUAUCCAAAUUGCCUCAUAAAUCUGUCAGGCAUUUAGAACUCAACAAUGUCGUAAUGUAUCAAUGGUAUACGAGCGGCUCCACCUAACCUUGCCUCAAAAAAAUCCCAAGACAAACGUCUAUCAAAUAUCUGAUAUGGACGCCACACCCCAUUUAUUUCCAACAUAUUAUCAAACUCUCCUCGAUAAAAUAGAAGAUGGUGAUGUGGAUUUUUAAGCCGCUGAUAUUGUUUUGAAUUAGGAUCAAAAGAGGAGUAUGCCCAUGAUAAUGCCCUAGGUAUCAGCUUUUAGGACAUAAGCUUAGGGGUAGGACAACCAAUGUUGAACCGUUCAUGAGCCCACAUCAUAAGAAGGGUUGCACAACCUGCGAAUUUUUUCGUUGUUUUGCGAGUAGCCUCAUACAAACCUCUAUACAAAUGCCCUAAGACUGCCGCCCCCCAAGCAUAUGUAACUACGUCUUCCAAUCUCUCCAAUAAUACCAAAUAUCUAGGAUGCACAACAUUUUUACUCUUGGUUGGAAACAAAAUAGCGCCACACAAGUACAACAGAUAUGCCUUAGUGUGUUUUACGACAUCAUCUAGAGUUGCAUUACCAGGUACUUGACCAUAUCUCUGUCUUAACCAUGGCAAACUUAUGCCCCCCCUUUUAUAGCAUUAUUCCCACUCAUCUACUAUAACUUGUUGCCCAAAACCCCUUAUAAAAUAGCUUUUUGGAUUUUCUAAUUCUCUGCAAGUCAAAGCUUUUCCUAAUACGGGCAAACCAAAUAAAAAUCCCACAUCCUCUAAAGAAAUGCUAAUCUCUCCACAAUUUAAGUGAAACGUAUUUGUUUCACUUCUCCAACGUUCAACUAAAGCAGAUACAAGAGAUGCAUCAAUCUUUGACACUAUAGCUUGAUGGCAAAAUAUACCAAAACCUACUUGUUCCAGCAAAUAUUCUUGUUGUUCAGUCAAGUUCCAUUCAAUUAAUUUUGCAGACAUUUGACAAAUUUCCAACACACCCCUAUCCUACACGUCCAACAUAAAAACAUAAAUCGUCACAACAUGAAUGUUUAUAACAAAUGUUUAACAAAAUGAAAGUUGUUAUACAUUAAUAAACUUAUAAUAUUUUGCCAUAAGUCUGACGAUACGUGAUUUUCUUGAUUCUAUAACACAAUAGGAUUAGCAGGUCCGGGAUUAAUAUCCAUAUGUUUCCUACACAUUUAUCAAAAUGUCGAGUAUUAAAUAAUAUAUAAAAAUUCCCAUCAAAAAUGAUAUGAGCAGCUGAAUCAAUUUCACAGUCUAGGGAUUGAGCCUCAAAGAAGUGAGAAUCAACAUAAGGAGGUCAUAAGGAGUACAUGUACAAAAAAAUAAUCUUGGUGCAGCUCCCAUAAAUAGACACAAUUCAAAACUAGGAACUUCAGAAACUUAUCAGCCUAUUAUUACAUGAUCAGCCAAAAAAAACAACAAAACAAGUGGUUUCUAACUUAAUUUUCAUCCAACCGAACUCCAUGAUGAUUAAACUUUCAAAGUAAGUCUUCAGAUUAUAAAUGAAAAAUUAAAAAUGGAAUCACAACAAUGUAGUGAUGCCCCUAGUAACAAAGAUCAAAACAACACAAAAUGAAGAAACAAAAUGACAGAAUUGCGUUAGGGCAAUCUGUUGAUGUUCAAGACAGAUACAAAAGCAAAAUUACCUGGUUAAUCGCUUAAGGGUUUUGACAAUUUGACAGAUGAAUCGGCCGAAAAAGGAUAGAGGCUUGCAAUCGGUCAGAAAUAGCAGUCGCAGGGAGGGUUAAGUCUUCAACAGUCGGAGGGAGGGAUUAGGCCAAGUCGCAGAGAGGGAACAGGCCUUCAACAGUCGCGGGGAGGGUUUAGGCUCUGAAAUCGUAGCAGCAGAACUUUCUCUCAGGGAGGGUUUAGGCUUUGAAAUCGCAGCAGCAGAGUUUAGGCUUUGAAAUCGCAGCCGCAGAUCUAUCGGAGGGAGGGAAUAUGAGUCGAAGGGAGGUCGGACGGAGGGAGGGAAUAUGAUUCGAAGGGAGGUCAAACGGAGGGUUUAUGCGAAGUUGAAGGUUUAGGGAGUCGAAGGUUUAGGGGGUCUGAAGUAUUCAGUCGAAGGUUUAGGGGGUCUGUAGAAUUCUGUCGAAUGUUUAGUUAGGGUCUGGAAUCGUCCGCUACUUCAAGUAGCCUAUGGGAUGAGGGAAAAUUCGGUUGAAAUUUUUCUAAUUGACGUCCGCUAGACGAACUGGCGAACGGGGAGCUCCAUUUUUUAAUCUGCGCCCUUAAUUAAUGGGAUGAACGGUUAUGAUGCUAUUUGCCCAAUUCUCAUCCAUAGAAAAUACUUGCUAUGGAUCAUCUCCCAUAUAUAUCUCCCAUAUAUAUAUAUAUAUAUAUAUAUACAGAAAACUAAGAGUGAGAAAUUUUUGAGGCCGACCUUUAACGCAUAAUCCUUAUGCCAAAUCAACAGCUCUGAUUUCCAAAAGCUUGAAUGUCUAUCUCCUUCGCUUCAGAGCCGUAUAUGAGUUUUGGUGUGUUAAGAACG